CCUACGGGUGGCUGCAGUAGGGAAUCUUCCACAAUGGGCGAAAGCCUGAUGGAGCAACGCCGCGUGUGUGAUGAAGGCUUUCGGGUCGUAAAGCACUGUUGUAUGGGAAGAACAGCUAGAAUAGGGAAUGAUUUUAGUUUGACGGUACCAUACCAGAAAGGGACGGCUAAAUACGUGCCAGCAGCCGCGGUAAUACGUAUGUCCCGAGCGUUAUCCGGAUUUAUUGGGCGUAAAGCGAGCGCAGACGGUUGAUUAAGUCUGAUGUGAAAGCCCGGAGCUCAACUCCGGAAUGGCAUUGGAAACUGGUUAACUUGAGUGCAGUAGAGGUAAGUGGAACUCCAUGUGUAGCGGUGGAAUGCGUAGAUAUAUGGAAGAACACCAGUGGCGAAGGCGGCUUACUGGACUGUAACUGACGUUGAGGCUCGAAAGUGUGGGUAGC
RNAcentral lists this ribosomal RNA (439 nucleotides) under uncultured Leuconostoc sp. RNAcentral's name for it is "bacterial SSU rRNA". It matches the Rfam family "Bacterial small subunit ribosomal RNA", at positions 338 to 769 of the family's 1533-position model. The record is from RNAcentral. Lineage: Bacteria; Bacillati; Bacillota; Bacilli; Lactobacillales; Lactobacillaceae.